CCUGAAGCCAGUGGGCUAACCUUUUAGGAGGCAGCUGUCCACGGUAAGGCCAGCGACUGGGGUUAAGUCGUAACAAGGUAGCUGUAGGGGAACCUGCGGCUGGAUUACCUCCU
Molecule: ribosomal RNA, 113 nt
Filed under: Rickettsiales bacterium
Lineage: Bacteria; Pseudomonadati; Pseudomonadota; Alphaproteobacteria; Rickettsiales
Description: partial 16S ribosomal RNA
Rfam family: Bacterial small subunit ribosomal RNA
Source: RNAcentral